UUUUAACAGAUGAAUGAAAAUAAUUGGAUAAAUGUAAUUUAUUUAUUGCAUAAUGAUAGUACUAGCAGUGACAGUAGCGAUAGUGACAGCAGUAGUAGUUCUUCAGAUGAAAACUACAUCCGUUAGAAAAUAACUUAUAUGAAGAAGAUCUGCUAGAUCCUCUUCUGCAGCUAUUAAUGAAUGGCCGUAGACAUCAUGUGCAAAAUUUUCUUGAUGUGAUACACAGGAAAAGUGAUAGUCUUUUUUUUAGAGAAGAUUUCAGAUUAAAUCGCAUGAUUGUACAGAUGAUUGUACAGAUUAAUAAAAUCUUUUGAGGCCAGCAGAUUUAUGCCAACAAAUGAAUUUGGAAAAGAAAGAAAAUCUGCAAAACUAUGUUUGCUAGUAACUCUUUGAUUUUUAAAUAAAGAACCACAUCGAAUUAUCUAA
Molecule: long non-coding RNA, 426 nt
Organism: Pogonomyrmex barbatus (red harvester ant)
Lineage: Eukaryota; Metazoa; Arthropoda; Insecta; Hymenoptera; Formicidae
Source: RefSeq, a predicted model, not a curated record